This 449-nucleotide ribosomal RNA is filed under the name uncultured bacterium. Its description in RNAcentral is "partial 16S ribosomal RNA". It matches the Rfam family "Bacterial small subunit ribosomal RNA", at positions 29 to 523 of the family's 1533-position model. The record is from RNAcentral.
AACGAACGCUGGCGGCAUGCCUAACACAUGCAAGUCGAACGAGAUCUUCGGAUCUAGUGGCGCACGGGUGCGUAACGCGUGGGAAUCUGCCCUUGGGUUCGGAAUAACAGUGAGAAAUUACUGCUAAUACCGGAUGAUGUCUUCGGACCAAAGAUUUAUCGCCCAGGGAUGAGCCCGCGUAGGAUUAGCUAGUUGGUGGGGUAAGGGCCUACCAAGGCGACGAUCCUUAGCUGGUCUGAGAGGAUGAUCAGCCACACUGGGACUGAGACACGGCCCAGAAUCCUCCGGGAGGCAGCAGUGGGGGAUAUUGGACAAUGGGCGAAGGCCUGAUCCAGCAAUGCCGCGUGAGUGACGAAGGCCUUAGGGUUGUAAAGCUCUUUUACCAGGGAUGAUAAUGACAGUACCUGGAGAAUAAGCUCCGGCUAACUCCGUGCCAGCAGCCGCCGUAA